UCUUCCUUGGGAUACAAAAUUAGGUGGGUAGGAUAUGCAUACUAUAAUCUGUUUAUAUCUUUAUCCAGCUUCAAAUCAUGUGAAAUAUUGGAGGAAAACAAAAAUGACAAGGUAAUGUUUACUUACUGUAAAUCUGUAUUGACUCUUGAUACUCAAGAUAGAUCAAGUGUUGUCGGUGGUUCGAGCUACUGUCCUCUUAGAUACUAACGUCGAAAAGCUUUUCUUAAUUCCAGACCCCAACGCUGAUGGUUGUGUGUCGCCAAUCUGGAGAGCGGAUAAUUCACAAGUUAAUGGCUACCCUUUCCCAUUGCCUACUUACAGUUUUAUGGUUUGUCAUCAUACCAAAUGCUUGCACAACAUUUUGCAAGACUGGCAACUCUGCUACGUUAUGUAGUAAUUAACCUAGUUGUAGUCUAUAGUAAUAUUAGGUAGCUAGAUCAAAGUGUCCUAGACAACGCUACGUGCGUGUCCGAGUUUAAGUCUAAACCAGUGUCUUGUACGAGUUGCAAACGAGCCUGUGUCGCGUCGUAUUGGUUGUCGACUCGGCAACACGUUGGACGCGACGAUGUUGUAUCUCUUUAUAUACCAAACCAAAAUAUGAAAACGGUGCAAGCUAUACGCACCAUCAAAUAACAGUUUCACUUUGUUUGUUUGUUUUGUUAGGCAAAGGUUCCGUCGAGUCGAUCGACUCGUUCGUAGUCAGCCGAAGCAAGGACGUAUCACCGCAAGCUAGCUAUAGGAUCCAUCUAGCUGCCUCGUUGCACGUAUGUGAAGCUUCGGGAGGAUUUUGAGGGUCCAAAAGCCAACAAUUAUCUAGAGCCUUGACGAUCUACGAUCUACGAUGACGGACAGCGACGCUGAGUCGAUCAAGUCCGGCAAAGGCAGUUCCAAGGCGAACAAAAACGGUGGCAAGGUGAAGAAGGACGGCAAGUCAGCAACCAGUGGUGGGGGAACGAGCGGCACCAACGUCCAGGCGCAUCGCAACAUCCCCAUCCAGUAUCCGAUGCUCACCGACACCAACUACGGUGUGUGGGCGGUGAAGAUGAAGAUUAUUCUCCGAUCUCUUCGAGUGUGGGAGGCCGUCACGGACGACGGCGUCGACGAGCAGCACGACGAAGCUUCCAUGGCCGCCAUAGC
Molecule: long non-coding RNA, 1137 nt
Filed under: Hordeum vulgare
Lineage: Eukaryota; Viridiplantae; Streptophyta; Magnoliopsida; Poales; Poaceae
Description: long non-coding RNA (HVUL_LNC000016)
Source: RNAcentral